CCAAAACCGCCCAACUCCAAAACAAUUAAAAAGAAACAAACUUUUUGAUCUUGUUCAUUUGAUUGUAGUUUCAAAUAUGAUAUAUUGCACCGGACAGUCUAUAACAAUUUGGAUGGCGCAAUCGUUAUUCAGGCUAGUGGCGGUGCUUGUGGAAGAUCCAGCGGCGUCGGUGACAACCAUGCUCUACCGUAGCGGUAUUCUUCCUCAAUAUACCAUUCUUGAAAGGUUGGUUCAUCAUGGUGUGUUUUUUGAUGACAACCCUUUCUUUAGUUUUAUUGUUAACUUCUUGAGAUGUUUAUGGUGGACAACACUUUCAAGCACCUUAGUUUUGUUUCUUUCUUUUCUUUAGUAUUCUAUGUCACGGAUAGGUGAAAUGAACGGUUAAAUAUGUUACGUUACAAAAUAAUGAGUAGUAUCAUACACGUAGCUUUGAUGUUGAAUAGCGUGAAGUGUAUAAACUUAGUUCAAUCUAGUGUUGUAUGAAUAAUGAAUUCGAAAUUGACUAUGUUUUCAAAGGUGAACGACUAAAGAUGAA
Helianthus annuus (common sunflower) is the source of this 535-nucleotide long non-coding RNA. RefSeq lists it as uncharacterized. The record is from RefSeq and is a predicted model, not a curated record. NCBI's taxonomy places the organism in Eukaryota, Viridiplantae, Streptophyta, Magnoliopsida, Asterales, Asteraceae. The transcript is spliced from 2 exons.